RNAcentral lists this long non-coding RNA (1768 nucleotides) under Paramuricea clavata. The record is from RNAcentral. Lineage: Eukaryota; Metazoa; Cnidaria; Anthozoa; Malacalcyonacea; Plexauridae.
AGGGGUUUCUGAUCUUCCUCAUUUAUGGGAUUUGUAAUCGAGAGGUGAGGUAGCUGUGCUCAUGGGAUUAAUAUGUUAUCACUUAACCGCAAUACUGUAAAAUAUUUUCGAACUUUUAUGUAUAAUAAUAUCGACUUCAUCUUGAGGAUAUUUCUUCUAUUUAGCCUUUUAAAGUGUUGGUUUUCUACAUUUUUUCCUACUUUCUAUUUCUUCAAUUUAUUUAUCUCUAUUUCAUGUUUCUACUUUUUCUUUGGUUUUUCAUUCUCACUUUGUUUGUGCUAUUGGUUGUGCAGAUAUUUUAAAAACAUUUUUCUUUCUUGUAGUCAUUUCGUAGUAGUUAUUUAUUACACAAUGUAUCAAAUUCUGGUGAGGGAGGAAAACCGGACGAUCCGGUGUCGGCAAUACAUAUAAGGAUUGUCUGACUGGAAUAGCACUAGAUUUCGUAUAAGCCUCACAUAUACAAAGCAUUUCUUGUGUAGAUUCGAAACGCUGUAAGUCGCCGAAUGGGAAUGGAUGUGAAUCCCACAACUUCAACUACAUAGAAUAGGUAACACAGCUCCUAUACUACUUCGGCUUUAUCAUGUGUAUUAGAGUAUUGAAAUCAUGUUGUUCCAGUAAAGUCGGAAGCUACUCUUCAAUAUGAAUAUGAAUUUAACUUAAUUUACUUUACUUUACUUUACUUUACUUUACUUUACUUUACUUUACUUUACUUUACUUUACUUUACUUUACUUUUUCACUCUCAAAGUUCCGGAUACGACGUCAUCAUUUGGGGAAUUGCAAAUUAGUUUUCUCUUCUUUUCGGCACCUAAAAUUCCACAAAGGAAAUCAUAUCCGGCAGCUUCGAGAGCCAAUGUUUUUUUUACCAUAAAGUACAUUACAUUUCUUCUUAGAAUAAUCCAAAUAUUUUGUAGGCUAAAAAUCAUUUUUGAGGUAGUAUAGCAAUUUAGGUGGUUUUUUGUAGAUGGAAAUUUUGAGAGAAAAUUAUGUACAUUUUUAGAGCAGUGAAAUUGCAGCCAUAAGCCUUGUUAUACAAGAAUUAGUGGUUAAUUAAUGCUCGGCAAAUUGACUCUGUAACUCAGUUGCAUGUCGGAGCGCAGCACCUGCAUUCGUGAAUCGCUGAACAGCAGGUUCACAGCUACUUCAGGUCAGGUCUAAAAAUGUGCAUAAUUUUCACUUCAAAGUUCCAUCUACAAAAAAACCUUCAACAAUCAGUUCUAUAUCGAAUCUAUUAAUUUUAAUAAAAAUCUGUUUAUACAUAAUCAGGGUUCCCAUUGGAGUUACCACCAUUUGAUCAAUCUAUAACGAUCGAAUAUAUUCAAGAUGGCUAUUAAUCUCGCAUAUAGGAUUAGUUUGUUUGUCUACAAGCGUACAUACAACCGUUUUUAACAUAAAUCUUUUUUUUUCAUAAAAGUUUGAACAAUUAAUAUGGUAACUGUUUUACUAAAAGACGUAUUUAAUACUGUUCUUAUAGGCAAUGGAAUCCGACAUUAGCUGAUAAGUAUUUUCUGUGCUGUUCUUGAAAUUGCACCCCUAUAAAAUUAACGAAGAAUAAUGGAAUGUCAAACAUUUAAAUGCCAUAAAACUAUAGAUAUUCAAUUAUUCUAAUUUUAAUUUCAUUGUAAAUAAAUUCAAUUUAAUAUAAACAUAACUAUAAUAUUUAAAGUCUGAAAAUGAGAAUUUCGAUUAAAUUUCAAAAUCCUUUCAGUUUUAUCCAUGAAGCAGACUGCGAGAACUUGAAAUAGGUUUUCAAAUGAUUUAUUAUAUUUA